This 1938-nucleotide ribosomal RNA is filed under the name Triticum aestivum (bread wheat). Its description in RNAcentral is "partial small subunit ribosomal RNA". Lineage: Eukaryota; Viridiplantae; Streptophyta; Magnoliopsida; Poales; Poaceae. The record is from RNAcentral.
AUGCUGUCGUCGAUGUUCGGGGCGCGGCCGGCGGGGGAGCCGGACCCGCCGGAGCCCGAGCCGGAGCCAUCGGGGCGGCAGCACUCGGACGGGGACCUGCUGGACGAGCUGGUCGCCACCGUGGGCGCCGCGCAGGCGUUCCAGGAGUUCCGGCGGUCGCAGCGCAAGGAGUGCUUCAACCUCCUCCGCUGGCUCCAGCUCGUGCUCCCGCUCAUCGAGGAGCUCCAAGAUGCGUCCCCGCCCCGCCCGCUCACCGACGACGCCCACCGCCGCCUCGCGCUCCUCAGCCGCGCCUUCCAGGCCGCCCGCCGCCUCCUCCGCUGCUGCCACGACGGCAGCAAGAUCUUCCUCUCGCUGGAGGCCGAGGCGGUGCAGGGGAGGUUCCGGGCCGUGUACGAGAAGAUCAACCAAGCCUUGGACGGCAUGCCCUACUCGGAGAUCGGCAUCUCCGACGAGGUCAAGGAGCAAGUGGAGCUCAUCAACACGCAGCUGAAGCGGAGCAAGAAGAGGACGGACACCCAGGACAUGGAGCUCGCCAUGGACUUCAUGGUGGUCCUACAGGACAAGGAGGACCGGAGCGCGGACAGGGUCAUCCUGGAGCGGCUGGCCAAGAAGCUCGAGCUACAAAGCCUGGCUGACCUCCGCGCCGAGACCAUGGCCAUCAAGAAGCUAAUCAACGAGCGCAACGGGCAGCAACCUGAGAGCACAAAGCAGAUCAUCGAGAUUCUUAACAAGCUCAAGGAAGUUGCUGGCAUAGACGAGAAAAACAUCCUCGGCGAGGUCCAUAUUCCCAAGUACCUUGAGAAGUGCCCCUCUCUCAUGAUCCCCAACGACUUCCUCUGCCCCAUCUCCCUCGAGAUCAUGACCGACCCCGUCAUCAUCGCCAGCGGCCGGACUUACGAGAGGAGAAGCAUCCAGAAGUGGUUGGACGCGGGGCAGCGAACGUGUCCCAAGACGCAGCAGCCGUUGGCGCAUCUGUCGCUGGCGCCGAAUUUUGCUCUCAAGAACUUGAUCCUGCAGUGGUGUGAGAAGAACAAGGUAGAGAUGCAGACAAGAGCUGACGAACCUCCUGUUGAGGAAGUGAGUAAGGAGGUGCUCAUCCCGUCAUUGGUGAAGGACCUCUCAUCCCCAAACCUCGACGUACAGCGCAAGGCCGCCAAGAAGAUCCGGACGCUUUCCAAGGAGAGCCCAGAGGACCGCACACUUAUCGUUGACAGUGAUGGCAUCGCGGCCCUUGUCGGUCUCCUGCUGUACCCGGAUAAGAAGAUCCAGGACAACGCGGUCACGUCGUUGCUCAACCUCUCGAUCGACGAGGCCAACAAGGUCUUGAUUGCCAAGGGGAACGCCAUCCCAUUGAUCAUCGAAGUCCUCAAGAACGGCAAUGUCGAGGGCCAGGAGAACUCGGCCGCAACGCUGUUUAGCCUGUCCAUGGUAGACGAGAACAAGGUGGCCAUAGGGGCCUCGGGAGGUAUGGCUCCAUUGGUUGACCUCCUGAAGGAUGGGACGAUUAGGGGGAAGAAAGAUGCUAGCACGGCCAUCUUCAAUCUAUUGCUGAAUCACCAGAACAAGUUAAGGGCUAUCGAGGCCGGCAUCGUUCCAGUGCUGCUCAAAAUUCUUGACAACACGAAGCUUGGCAUGGUUGAUGAGGCCCUCUCCAUCUUCCUCCUGCUUGGGUCCAACUCUGCAUGCCGUGGAACGAUCGGGACAGAGAGCUUCGUCGAGACGCUUGUGCGGAUCAUCAAGGAGGGGACCCCAAAGAACAAGGAGUGUGCGCUUUCUGUUAUCCUCGAGCUUGGAUCACACAAUAAUGCCCUUAUGGUGCAUGCCCUUGGGUUCGGCCUCCAGGAGCAUCUCACGGAAAUUGCCAAGAACGGCACGAGCAGAGCACAGAGGAAGGCAAACUCUUUGAUUCAGCUUGCCCAGAAGUGCCAAUCCUAG